RNAcentral lists this unclassified non-coding RNA (307 nucleotides) under Hevea brasiliensis (rubber tree). The record is from RNAcentral. Lineage: Eukaryota; Viridiplantae; Streptophyta; Magnoliopsida; Malpighiales; Euphorbiaceae.
AAUCAAAGAGCAUAUAAAGAUGAGAAACAAAGGAAAUUCUACAACUAACUUUUCUGUUCUGUUCUCCAUUUAAUUUUUUAGUUCUUAGAUAAUCCUUCAAUAACAAUUCCUCUAUUGGUAAAACAGAAACUGGGAAAUGUUAAGGAGGAUAAAAGGAUAUCAAAGCAUCCAAAAUUCUGACACAGCUGUAAUUACAGUUGGAUAUAACUGAUUCUGUUAGUCAACAAUUUCAUUUUUCACUUUACUCCUAAACCAAGGCAUUUUGAAGAAGAAAAGAAAGAGAGGGGAAAAUGGAAACUUACUGCAG